GGAGGGUUAGACCUAAUUGGUAAGGCAGCGGACUUGAAAUCCGCCGUUCCCGAAAGGGAACAUGGGGGUUCGAGUCCCUCACCCUCCG
RNAcentral lists this transfer RNA (88 nucleotides) under Pseudomonadota bacterium. RNAcentral describes it as "tRNA-Ser". It matches the Rfam family "tRNA". Rfam says of the family: Transfer RNA (tRNA) molecules are approximately 80 nucleotides in length. Their secondary structure includes four short double-helical elements and three loops (D, anti-codon, and T loops). Further hydrogen bonds mediate the characteristic L-shaped molecular structure. tRNAs have two regions of fundamental functional importance: the anti-codon, which is responsible for specific mRNA codon recognition, and the 3' end, to which the tRNAs corresponding amino acid is attached (by aminoacyl-tRNA synthetases). tRNAs cope with the degeneracy of the genetic code in two manners: having more than one tRNA (with a specific anti-codon) for a particular amino acid; and 'wobble' base-pairing, i.e. permitting non-standard base-pairing at the 3rd anti-codon position. Lineage: Bacteria; Pseudomonadati; Pseudomonadota. The record is from RNAcentral. RNAcentral also lists the same sequence under 1 other name.